GAUGAACGCUGGCGGCGUGCCUAACACAUGCAAGUCGAACGUGAGCCCGACUUCGGUUGGGUGAAAGUGGCGAACGGGUGAGUAACACGUUGGUGACCUGCCCCGAGAAGGGGGAUAACUCCUCGAAAGAGGAGCUAAAACCCCGGAUGUCUGGAAUGUUAGAGAUUACAGACUAAAACUGAGGUGUCUUGGGAGGGGCCUGCGGGCUAUCAGCUAGUUGGUGAGGUAAUGGCUCACCAAGGCGAAGACGGCUAGGGGGCGUGAGAGCGUGACCCCCCACAAGGGAACUGAGAGACGGUCCCUACUCCUACGGGAGGCUG
Molecule: ribosomal RNA, 320 nt
Filed under: uncultured Chloroflexota bacterium
Lineage: Bacteria; Bacillati; Chloroflexota
Description: bacterial SSU rRNA
Rfam family: Bacterial small subunit ribosomal RNA
Source: RNAcentral